RNAcentral lists this ribosomal RNA (301 nucleotides) under uncultured bacterium. RNAcentral's name for it is "partial 16S ribosomal RNA". It matches the Rfam family "Bacterial small subunit ribosomal RNA", at positions 509 to 807 of the family's 1533-position model. The record is from RNAcentral.
CAGUAGCCGCGGUAAUACGGAGGAUCCAAGCGUUAUCCGGAAUCAUUGGGUUUAAAGGGUCCGUAGGCGGUUUAGUAAGUCAGUGGUGAAAGCCCAUCGCUCAACGGUGGAACGGCCAUUGAUACUGCUGAACUUGAAUUAUUAGGAAGUAACUAGAAUAUGUAGUGUAGCGGUGAAAUGCUUAGAGAUUACAUGGAAUACCAAUUGCGAAGGCAGGUUACUACUAAUUGAUUGACGCUGAUGGACGAAAGCGUGGGGAGCGAACAGGAUUAGAUACCCCAGUAGUCCCUGUCUCUUAUAC